RNAcentral lists this long non-coding RNA (742 nucleotides) under Mytilus galloprovincialis (Mediterranean mussel). The record is from RNAcentral. Lineage: Eukaryota; Metazoa; Mollusca; Bivalvia; Mytilida; Mytilidae.
AUCUUCAUUACAAUUAAGCAGACAUUUUGCACUUGUUCUUUUAUAUGAAUCUCUCAAAGUGAGUGAGAAAAUGCAAAAACAAGCAAAAGUCACAAUUGGGAACUUGACCUUGACCUUUGACCUUGACCUCAUUUUCUAAGUUAGGACAUAGGGGACUCAAAUAAAAACAUCCCAGGGUUAUACGGUUAUCUGUUAAUGAGUUAAAUAAACAUACCGACAAAUUCAUUUUGUAAAGGUAGAUAACUCCUAUAAAAUUUCAUCGAAUCGCUUCGAUCCAAAUACGCCAAAAAUUACUGAGGAUGUAACGAACAAUUUGUAAAAAGAAUUUUGUCGCUAUCUUUUUUUGUUACGAAGGAGAUACGCUUUGAUGAUAAACAGUGAAUAGGGAGAUAACUCUUACAAAGAAAAUGGUUCGGCUUAGCAGGGUGAAAUUUAAAAGCGCAUAAACUAUACGAUACAAUAUGAGAAAUAUCUAAGCGACAUAUUGCGAAACAAACAUUUAUCGCAAGAACAAAAGUUGGCGGAAAAAAAAUAAAAAUAAUAAUAAUAAUAAUAAUCAGAACAAAAACAAUAAGUCUUUCCACAGAAAAGUGGAAAGACUUAAUUAUAAUAAUUAAAAACCAAUUGUUCAGAGAACAAUUGAAAGUCUUUCCACAUCAAAGAAAUUUUGAUAAGAAGAUAGUUUCUUCAUACUAAUUCGAUAAAUAAUGGUUUAAUUAUAUUUUUGAGCGAUGUAAGGGAG